CAUGCCGUAAACGAUGAGUGCUAAGUGUUGGGAGGUUUCCGCCUCUCAGUGCUGCAGCUAACGCAUUAAGCACUCCGCCUGGGGAGUACGACCGCAAGGUUGAAACUCAAAGGAAUUGACGGGGGCCCGCACAAGCGGUGGAGCAUGUGGUUUAAUUCGAAGCAACGCGAAGAACCUUACCAGGUCUUGACAUCUAGUGCAAUCUGUAGAGAUACGGAGUUCCCUUCGGGGACGCUAAGACAGGUGG
Molecule: ribosomal RNA, 247 nt
Filed under: uncultured Lactobacillus sp.
Lineage: Bacteria; Bacillati; Bacillota; Bacilli; Lactobacillales; Lactobacillaceae
Description: partial 16S ribosomal RNA
Rfam family: Bacterial small subunit ribosomal RNA
Source: RNAcentral